Long non-coding RNA from Amphiprion ocellaris (clown anemonefish), 650 nucleotides. RefSeq lists it as uncharacterized. The record is from RefSeq and is a predicted model, not a curated record. Lineage: Eukaryota; Metazoa; Chordata; Actinopteri; Pomacentridae. The transcript is spliced from 5 exons.
AUAAGCCAGCCUGCUGAACCAGAACUCUCUCUGCUCCUCUCAUACUCAGUCACACAUGCUCUACCUCAUUUUACUUUACACUGACACCAUGCACACUCACACACACCACUGAUGCUGACUACCACACCUCAUCAUCAUGUUUUACUUGGUAAAUAAUGCUUUGUUGCAGUUAAACUGCUCUCUGCAUCUCUUUUGUUGUGACCUAAGAACCAGUCAUAACAAACUGGAGGCUUGUCCAUUGUGAGUGCAGGGUUUCUUGUUUGUGGCUGAGGAGACUGUUUGCUGUCCUUUUGAUAGUUUGGGAUUGGAGGCAUAAAGUAGUAAGAGCUGCUCCACAGUGGGAUAGAACUUUUCAAGUGGAGGUAGAUACAAGUCAUGUAGGAGCAGAAGCUGAGUGCAGUCUCCCAACCAGAGGCUGGAGCGUUGGGCCUUUAUUUUCCAAUCCUACUGCUAGGACAUCCGACACACAGGGUCUUCAUCUUUCCUCUUAAUUCAGCUUCAACGAUCCAGUAGCUGGAUGGAUAAAGAGCCUUGGUCUCCUCUCUGUUGCAGGUCUCUGGCUGGGCGGAGCCUAUAAUCAUCUAGUACACCUGGUACACCUGGUCAGACAAGCCAGCCUGCUGAACCAGAGCUCUCUGCUCUUCUCGCAG